This 468-nucleotide ribosomal RNA is filed under the name uncultured bacterium. Its description in RNAcentral is "partial 16S ribosomal RNA". The stretch from base 58 to 468 matches the Rfam family "Bacterial small subunit ribosomal RNA", at positions 39 to 507 of the family's 1533-position model. The record is from RNAcentral.
GGGGGGGGGGGGGGGGGGGGUGGGGGGGGGGGGGUGGGGGGGGGAGGGGGUGGGGGUGUGGGGUGCUCGAGGGGCGAACGGGUGAGGAACACGGGGGUAAGCUGCGGUGGAGUUGGGGAUAACUUCAGGAAACUGGGGCUAAUGCGGGACAGGAGCUCCUGCUGCAUGGGGGGGGGUGGAAAGUUUGGGCGGUUGGGGGUGGACUCGCGGCUGAUCAGCUUGUUGGUGGGGUAGUGGCUUACCAAGGCUUUGACGUGUAGCCGGCCUGAGCGGGGGACCGGCCACAUUGGGACUGAGAUACGGCCCAGACUCCUACGGGAGGCAGCAGUGGGGAAUAGUGCACAAUGGGCGGAAGCCUGAUGCAGCAACGCCGCGUGCGGGAUGACGGCCUUCGGGUUGUAAACCGCGUUCGCCUGUGACGAAGCGUGAGUGACGGUAAUGGGUAAAGAAGCACCGGCUAACUACGUG